UACGUAGGGUCCAAGCGUUAUCCGGAAUCACUGGGCGUAAAGCGUGCGUAGGCGGCGCGUUAAGUGCAAUGCGAAAUCCUGUGGCUCAACCAUAUGGACUGUAUUGCAUACUGGCGUGCUUGAGGAUAUGAGAGGCAAGUGGAAUUACCGGUGUAGCAGUGAAAUGCGUAGAUAUCGGUAGGAACACCAAUGGCGAAGGCAGCUUGCUGGCAUAUUUCUGACGCUAAGGCACGAAAGCGUGGGGAGCGAACAGG
RNAcentral lists this ribosomal RNA (254 nucleotides) under uncultured bacterium. RNAcentral describes it as "partial 16S ribosomal RNA". It matches the Rfam family "Bacterial small subunit ribosomal RNA", at positions 524 to 776 of the family's 1533-position model. The record is from RNAcentral.